UACAGAGGGGGCAAGCGUUAUUCGGAAUUAUUGGGCGUAAAGGGCGCGUAGGCGGCCAUUCAAGUGACGGGUGAAAGCCCUCGGCUUAACCGAGGAACUGCCUGUCAGACUGGAUGGCUUGAGACCGGGAGAGGUGAGUGGAAUUCCCAGUGUAGCGGUGAAAUGCGUAGAUAUUGGGAGGAACACCAGUGGCGAAGGCGGCUCGCUGGACCGGUUCUGACGCUGAUGCGCGAAAGCGUGGGGAGCAAACGGG
Molecule: ribosomal RNA, 253 nt
Filed under: uncultured bacterium
Lineage: Bacteria
Description: partial 16S ribosomal RNA
Rfam family: Bacterial small subunit ribosomal RNA
Source: RNAcentral